CUGNAGUCUGUGAUUGGCUAGUCUUUGUUGAACAGUCGGGUUGAAAAUUUCUGUUGUCCUCUAGCCUGCUAAUAAUCUUUUUGGCUGGUAUGUCUAAACUGUAGGAUACACCUGAGCUGUUUAUUGAAACACUCUCUCUCAACGAAGAUCCAUAAAAUGAACACAUGGACAUCUGUUUAUAACUAAUCUUUGUAGGAGUGUGCUAAUGAUACUGUUGGCUAGAAGUUUCGACCUCAUCAUUCUAGGAUCUAAGUUUGAAACUUCUGCUAAAAGAUAUCUGCCAAUUGGACGACACUAUAUAAAUUCCAUUAAUAGUCAUUGAGAUGGUUUAGGAACUUCAAAUGUCAACAAAAUAUAUCUGCAUGUACUGGCCUUCAUAUUUUUCAUUGCACGAUGGAAUUUCUAUCCUGGGUUUGAAAUUUUUUGCAGCUAUAAUGACCUGGAUGCUCCAGAAGAUGAAGUAACGGUGAUAGACUAUAGGAGUCUAUAAGUUUAUAUGAUGGACAAGCAAUAAGAGUGCGUUGCUUGCGUUCCACUUGAAGAUUUAGAACUGAAAAGUGCACAUGCUUUAUGAUCUGUGAAGAUGAGGUGAUGCACUCUACCCGUGCAUGUGCUACUCGCAUUGGCUUUUCUCUUGCUGUUAACAUACAGUCAGAUAUGCGCAGAAUCGAAGUGUGCAUCUAUUAUGAGUUUUUGAGAAAUUUUUUCCUCCCAACCCCAGAAAUGUUUUCUAGGUAUUCAAAGGGGAUGAGUGCCAAAUAAUUUUAUUUUCAGAUAUUUUAUUUAAAAUUUUUGUUUGUUUUUCUUUGAUCACAUAGAGGUUAAAGAAGUUGAUGUAGUUGGUAGGAGUUGAUAUUUUAACUGGAAUCGAACCAAAAUCUCUUUCAAUUUUGGUCCGAUUCUAGAAAAAUUAGGAACCGGAGCCAAGAAUUGGCCGAGUAUUCAUUUGAUUCUUGGUUCUUGAACGGAACUGUGGAUACUCGAUUCUGGAAUCGAAUUUGUCUUUGUUUAUAACUUUUUUAUUUUUAAAAAUUUAUUCACCAUGGCUCGGGCGCUCAGCGAUCGGAUGGAGUGCCAAUGAAACGAUGGGAUGGAGGGAGAAGUUGCCCCAUUGAUUGUUAUGCUAUAUUUGGAGGAUUUAUUUAGUUGUUUUCAUUAUUUAUAGAAUCUAAAACUUGUUGGUUUUUAGUUUUGGUUUGUUCUUAUCGUAUGUAAUUUGGUAAUUAUGCUUUGUUAGAUGUUAAAUGCUACUCCCUUCAUCCCAUAAAAGUAGUCCUAUUUCAUUUUUCACAUGGAUUAAGAAAAUUUAGUCAAUAUCGCUGAAACAAUAAAUUUU
Molecule: long non-coding RNA, 1336 nt
Filed under: Olea europaea subsp. europaea
Lineage: Eukaryota; Viridiplantae; Streptophyta; Magnoliopsida; Lamiales; Oleaceae
Source: RNAcentral